RNAcentral lists this ribosomal RNA (495 nucleotides) under uncultured bacterium. RNAcentral describes it as "partial 16S ribosomal RNA". It matches the Rfam family "Bacterial small subunit ribosomal RNA", at positions 28 to 507 of the family's 1533-position model. The record is from RNAcentral.
GACGAACGCUGGCGGCGUGCCUAAUACAUGCAAGUAGGACGCUGAAGGAGGAGCUUGCUUCUCUGGAUGAGUUGCGAACGGAUGAGUAACGCGUAGGUAACCUGCCUGGUAGCGGGGGAUAACUAUUGGAAACGAUAGCUAAUACCGCAUAAGAGUAGAUGUUGCAUGACAUUUACUUAAAAGGUGCAAUUGCAUCACUACCAGAUGGACCUGCGUUGUAUUAGCUAGUUGGUGAGGUAACGGCUCACCAAGGCAACGAUACAUAGCCGACCUGAGAGGGUGAUCGGCCACACUGGGACUGAGACACGGCCCAGACUCCUACGGGAGGCAGCAGUAGGGAAUCUUCGGCAAUGGACGGAAGUCUGACCGAGCAACGCCGCGUGAGUGAAGAAGGAUUUCGGAUCGUAAAGCUCUGUUGUAAGAGAAGAACGAGUGUGAGAGUGGAAAGUUCACACUGUGACGGUAUCUUACCAGAAAGGGACGGCUAACUACGUG